AGCAGAACCGAAUAGAGUCGAGAGCGCAGCCUGGCCGCCGCCUGGCACAUGCCAUCACCGCCACAAAGAGCUCGUUGAGUCCAGGCGGCCAGAGCUCCCGGACUGUGCAGCGGCACAGGAGGCUCUGCGGAGCGGACCCAGGGGGAAGGGACCAGACUGAGGAUGGCCCGGAAGAGAAAGCCCCCCAGCAGCCAGGACACCUUUCUAACCAACUCGACUUUGCGGUGAUUCAGUUCAGGCCUUCUGAAGAGACAGCCUCUUGUCUUAAUGAGUCACACAGAAUCAACAGAGAUUCCUCCUGAGGAUGAGGACUUUGGUGA
This is a long non-coding RNA of Acomys russatus (golden spiny mouse), 320 nucleotides long. RefSeq lists it as uncharacterized. NCBI's taxonomy places the organism in Eukaryota, Metazoa, Chordata, Mammalia, Rodentia, Muridae. The transcript has 3 exons. The record is from RefSeq and is a predicted model, not a curated record.